UAUAACCAGAAAGGAUGUGCAGAGGCCAU
Molecule: non-coding RNA, 29 nt
Filed under: Rattus norvegicus (Norway rat)
Lineage: Eukaryota; Metazoa; Chordata; Mammalia; Rodentia; Muridae
Source: RNAcentral